Long non-coding RNA from Rhodamnia argentea, 1525 nucleotides. RefSeq lists it as uncharacterized. The transcript is spliced from 3 exons. Lineage: Eukaryota; Viridiplantae; Streptophyta; Magnoliopsida; Myrtales; Myrtaceae. The record is from RefSeq and is a predicted model, not a curated record.
CACCAACAUAACCAAGAAAGUAAACUUCAAAUAUGAUAGUUUCUGGAUUUCUUUGUCCUAGCAGCUCAUAAAAAAUAACUAGAAGUAUACCCCUAAAGUGAUAGUUUCAGAAUCUAUCCCUGAAUUUAUUGUCCCAUCUGCCAAUAAAAAACUUGUUGGGCUUACUCCACUCACACGUUCUUUGUGGACUAAGAAGAUCUAUUUGGUCGCAACAAAUAAUACUUUAUGCUACUUCUGCCUGGGCAUUAGUAGCUCUCUUGAAAAUUUGCAUAUCAAGUAGAUAGAAUAUGCUUGGCUGAGGAUUAUGCUUAUUGAUUAUGAGAGAAGUUGUUGUCUUCUUUGGUUAUGACGUGAUAACUGUGUAGCACUAUCUUCCAUAGGUUUCAUCUGCUCUACACAAGUAUUCUCAAUGCACAUGAUUGAGAAGAUGACAUACAUAUCCUGUUUUCUCUUUGGACGUGGAUAAGCUGUGGAUGUCUUUUCCUUGACUCGACAUCAUAUAGGGCUAAACCUUUUGUUACAAGCAACAGACAAGUUUUUUGCACCAAGUGGAAUUAAUUGUAUGAAUCUUUGAAACCAUGGUAUUUUGUACUUUGUAAUCUGAUUCUUAAUAUUCCUCUACAAGAUGAUAAUUGUAAGAGAUCCUAACAGUUGGAACAGAAAUUUUAAUUCAGGUAAGCAUGCUAAAUAUCAUUUAGUGAGAUAAUUGGAAGAUUCCCAAUACUUUUGGAAGUCCACAUCUAUAUCAUUCACGUACAUUUCUCCAAAAACUCAUGACCAAGUGGAAAAUUAUUGUACCUGUGGCGCUCUUGCAGGUGCUGCAGCUGUUGUCUUAAGCUUGCGACCUCUCUUUGGCAAUGCUGGGAACAUCAGAGAAGUAGCAUGACAGAAUACUCAAUGAAUGGGGAGGCAUUACCGUGGUGCAUGUUUUACAAUGAGGAAGUUCUCAAAUCGUUGCAUGGAUUUCAAUGGCGAUAAUGACAGAUGAGGACUGAUGGAAUGGAUGAUCCUAAGACUGAGUAGACUAGUACAACUGCAAGCAGGGUCUGUAAGGUGUCAUUCUGUGGUUUGCAUCUGAAUAUGCACACAGGAUUUAGCUGAAAAUUUUUGGGAACUUCAUAUAAUGGCGGUCUUUCUCAAGAAUGAAGAGCUUUGAAUUGUAAGGUCACAUAUAAUUUCUUUCUCCCCCAUAUCCUUCCUUUGUUCAUGAGAAGGUGCUUAUUUUUUGUGCAGUUUUACAGCUAGAAUACUGAAGUACUAAUGGAAUGACCAAGUUUCCACAGGAUGCUGAUGCCAUUUUUAGUGUAAAAUGAGUCUUUAAGAAAGGGAAAGACAUCUGAAGUUUCUGUGCAAACUUCGUAGAAAAAGAGGUGGGUCGUUUCAGAUUCUUACCUUGAUUUCUGAAGCUGGAUUAAAUAGUUGGUGGCUUUCCUCCCUUAACUCCUUGUAACGUUCUAGCACCGACUGCAUACUGCGAAAUUGAAGUUCAUCUAUACAGAUGGACUAAUGUAUAUUCAUUGUUAUA